RNA transcript from Fragaria vesca subsp. vesca, 1536 nucleotides. RefSeq lists it as uncharacterized. The transcript has 2 exons. The record is from RefSeq and is a predicted model, not a curated record. NCBI's taxonomy places the organism in Eukaryota, Viridiplantae, Streptophyta, Magnoliopsida, Rosales, Rosaceae.
ACACGUCUGUUUCAAAUUGUAUAUGCUAUAUAAUAACGAGGCAUCGUUGUAAACAGACUAACUUGAAUUGCAUAUUGGUUGUUGGGAGACCUGUCUAGACUGGGUUCAAUCUAAUUGCUAACUUGGUAAGCAUUUCUUUAGUAUUAUAUGUUCUGAGUUCUCUACUAUGAUUGUGAAGAGUCUUAGUUAACUAUAUCAUCUUAUCUUGAGCAAACUUUGGUGAUCAAGAUUACUACAUACUCUCCCCUUUGAUUAGGUUGCAUGAAUUGUAUCCUCAAUCUGAUAAACGUAUUUGGUCAUAUAUGAGACUCUCGAAGAUGUCACUAGCAUCCAAGUAGCUGCUGGUAUUGAGCUUAAAUAAAUCUACAGCCAAGACUAGCAUUUCUGUAUCAUUUACUCUUUGUCAUACUAUUUGUAAAUGAAAUACUUGCAUUGUCAACUUCAGGCUUUCUUUAUUGGAAUAUUAUAAGUGGAAGGAAGCGGUGAAAGGAAAAUGAAGUGAAAUUAUGAAUUGCAGUUUAUGCCUCAUUAAUAGCUAUAUUCAUCUCUUUCUUAUCUGUCAUAGUUAUCUAUAUUUGGUUGGAGUAGACUUGAAGUCAAAAUGAGUAGAUACGUAGACCACUAUCUGUUUGCAGUUGUUUUCCCGCAAUGCAUAAACCACUCUUUAAUAGUUGUUUGUUAAUUGACAUUAUAUAUAACAGAGUAUAUAUUUUAUUUAUGGAUUAACAGUAAUUUUCAGCAUCUCUCCUUAUCAAAAAUUUCAUUCAUGUGUUUGUCAUUGCUUACUUUUGAUGCAGGUCAAGCGUCUUGGUCAUGAAUUAUGUUAAUCACUUGAUCUUGUAGGAAUUGUUUGAAAUCAGUAGUUAUGGAUUUAGACUAGCAAAAGAUAUGGCAUAUACAAUGCAGGUAUUAUAAGUCUUCCCCUGAUUCCAUGUUAUACGAGAUGAUUGUUUCUUGUUUUUAUAAUCCCUCCCGUUUAUGUUCCCUCUAUGUAUAAUCAAAUUGCUUACAAGAAAAUGGAGAUAGGAUUAUUCAUGAAUAAACCAGAUAUUGUCUUAUGUUGCCUCUUCUACGUAAUAGAUAAUAAUGCAAACUUUAGGUACAUAAAUGAGUAUAUAUGUGCCCAUUUUUCAUUCUUGUAUGUUGCUGCAUUCUCCUUAACAGUAAAUUAAUUUGCUUUGUGUUUUUCAUUUGCAGAAUGGUGUUGGGUUGUCAAACUGAGGGGUGCAUAUCAUUUCUCAAAUUGAAGAAAUCUCUUCUCCAGUGUUGAUUUGCAAUGGGGGAAGGGCCCAUGUUUUGGGUACUCAAGUCUGCAGUCCAAUGCAAUGCUUAUAACUUCGUUGACAUUCCUCAUCCUACUUUUAGCCGUGUGGACAGCAGGAAACCUGCAGUUGGGGCUGAGACUUAGACGAGUCUGGAGGCACAGUGAUCAUGGCAAUUAUGAUUCAAUUGGUAACAGAGAAGUUCUCAGUUAAUAUGAAGCUGUCUGAUGAGGUUAUUAGUGAGCAGUAAGGUUAUAACAUUUUGUGUGUAGAU